This 350-nucleotide unclassified non-coding RNA is filed under the name soil metagenome. RNAcentral's name for it is "partial contains 5.8S ribosomal RNA, internal transcribed spacer 2, and large subunit ribosomal RNA". The stretch from base 1 to 120 matches the Rfam family "5.8S ribosomal RNA", at positions 35 to 154 of the family's 154-position model. The record is from RNAcentral.
GAUGAAGAACGUAGCGAACUGCGAUAAGUAAUGUGAAUUGCAGAAUUCAGUGAAUCAUCGAGUCUUUGAACGCACAUUGCGCCCCCUGGCAUUCCGGGGGGCAUGCCUGUCCGAGCGUCAUUGCUGCCCUUCAAGCCCGGCUUGUGUGUUGGGUCGUCGUCCCCCCCGGGGGACGGGCCCGAAAGGCAGCAGCGGCACCGCGUCCGGUCCUCGAGCGUAUGGGGCUUUGUCACCCGCUCGAUUAGGGCCGGCCGGGCGCCAGCCGGCGUCUCCAACCUUCUAUUUUACCAGGUUGACCUCGGAUCAGGUAGGGAUACCCGCUGAACUUAAGCAUAUCAAUAAGCGGAGGA